Schistosoma curassoni is the source of this 45-nucleotide non-coding RNA. The record is from Rfam. Lineage: Eukaryota; Metazoa; Platyhelminthes; Trematoda; Strigeidida; Schistosomatidae.
GCACUGCUGAGGAGUCCCAUACUAGGACGAAACGGCCGUCCAGUG